AAGUCGUAACAAGGUUUCCGUAGGUGAACCUGCGGAAGGAUCAUCAUCGAAUUCAUAUCCACCUCCCUCGCGGAGGUGGACCCAUGAUAAACCCUUCUGUGCACCGUAAACCGUUCACUUUGGCAGGCUUUGGUGUGAGUGAGCGUGAGCUCGCCCCCCCAACCUCGCGUUCUCCCUCCCCUACUACAGGAGGGUUACGCGUGGCGGCCUGCCGGAGUUCUCUCAUGAAAAACACGUUUUUUUCGAACACGUCUGAAAAAUUUCCUUUGAGAAAUCAAAGAACCGAAAACAACUUUCAACAACGGAUCUCUUGGCUCUC
Molecule: unclassified non-coding RNA, 319 nt
Filed under: fungal sp.
Lineage: Eukaryota; Fungi
Description: partial internal transcribed spacer region
Rfam family: Eukaryotic small subunit ribosomal RNA (bases 1-46)
Source: RNAcentral